Long non-coding RNA from Hyaena hyaena (striped hyena), 594 nucleotides. RefSeq lists it as uncharacterized. The transcript is spliced from 3 exons. Lineage: Eukaryota; Metazoa; Chordata; Mammalia; Carnivora; Hyaenidae. The record is from RefSeq and is a predicted model, not a curated record.
UCUGGGGAAGGUUGCCCUGUUCACGACUGCUGUGAGCGGUGUACCUCGUCUGGCCGCCCCGCGGUCCCAAUGAAAGGAAAGCCAUGUUCAGUGUGGCCUCAGGGAAAGGGAGCCUUAGGUUGGGCAGCUUGCCCAAGGUCACAAAGCUUAGGGAUGUGCUCCCGAGGCCUGGCCUCACCAGGCCUCAGUCCCUACUUGGCCCUCACAGGACAUGACGUGGCUGUGAGAUCUCAGGCAGGAUGUAGUCUAGUUCCGAGCCUUAGCUUCUCCUCCUGUAGGAUGGGCUCAAGGUUAUGGGAGAGAACACCGCAGAGAUCGGCGGGGCCAGAACCCCCCUGCGCAGCUGGAACGGGGCCGCCCAGGGCUGGGGAAGUGAAUGUCGUCCUGGCCCCAUUUAGAAGCAGCCCAAAUGCUGAUUCCGGAGCCUGAGACCCAGAAUCUCACAGUUGUUUACAAACACAAAGCAAAGUGUCAUCAUCGAGGCAGCUGAGCUCCUAGAGGGAGGUCACUCCUGGGUUCAAGGACUUGGCAAUGGGCUGUAGGCGAGAGAGACAGAGCGUGAGUGGGAGAGGGGCAGAGAGAGAAUCCGAAGCA